RNAcentral lists this long non-coding RNA (465 nucleotides) under Linum usitatissimum (flax). RNAcentral describes it as "long non-coding RNA (LUSI_LNC001754)". The record is from RNAcentral. Lineage: Eukaryota; Viridiplantae; Streptophyta; Magnoliopsida; Malpighiales; Linaceae.
UUGCUGAUAAUAAAAAUUUCAGAGGUUUUAUGAGCAUGGAGGUGAGAUGCAAGUUGCUCAAGAUGCACAAUUAAGGCCUUCCAUGGACAUAUUUGCAGUAGGGUGAGCCUUCUAAGCUAUAACCAUAAUUAUAUUCAUAUACACUUGCAUAAAAGGAAGUUCCAGUUAUCAUUUAUGUUAAAGGCAAACAACAUACUUAGAGUGCUCAAAUUUUUGUUUUCCGGUUAAUUUCUACUCACAGGGAUUACUAGAAUUUAGCUCAGAAGGUCUUGAAAACUAAACAUGACAUCAGAUUUACCAUGUACUGGUUAGCAAAAUGGUGCAAGAUUGAAGGUGUAUGAUAUUUAAUCCUAUGUUUUGGGGAAAGACAACAGAUGUCAGGGAGAGAACACAGUGAAAGCUUCUUUCUAUGUAUGCAAUUGUUGAAUGUUCUUUUCAUGUUAUUAUUGGCCCUUUUAUCAGCUA